GCAGCAGGGAGGAAGCGAGAAGAAACCGCUUCGUGCAAUUCAAAACGCCGGCUCCCUUCUGAGGUACUAUACACGCACGCACACAAAAUGAGUGCUCGAGAGAAACUGAAGGAUGCAGUAUGCUCUUCAGCUUCCCCACAAAUCCCCAAAUUCCUUUGUUUAAAACAAAACACAACAAAACAAAAUGUGUGGCUUUUCUCAAAAUGACAACCCAAACAGGCAGGAUCUGAAAUCCCCAGAACACAACCUAGACCAUAGAACUCGGGCUCAACAAGGGGGUGUUGUGGAGCCCCGUGAAACCCAGAGGACGGCGGCAUAAACGGCCACGGCCUCUUGCGCAGCCGUGUCUGCGGGACCCCCGACAUCUGAAGGCCAAGGGAAGAUCCAGCGUGUCACCGAGUUUGGUGAGACGCGGACAAACCACCGAAUGGCUGAGCUGCCCAGAUUUUCCCAAAUCGUCCACAUGGGAUGAAGCCACGAGGUGGAGGUAGUGAUCAUUCAUCCCAAAGCAUUUUUCCAAAUGGCCACCUCCAACAGGAGAGGCAAUUCCAGUCUUCGCAGGCCACUCCCAGCACAGCUCAGUCUUCUCUGGCGGCCCCGUGACCAGCAGACCAUCGCCUCUGCCACCGCUCCCCGGAUGCGGGAAGCCUGCUCAGGGAGCUGUUUCCUCCCUCUGCGGGGGCCGUUUCCUUCUGAAGGCCCUGACCUUGCUCUUGGUGGCCCAGAGGCUCCUGGGCUAACUGAUGGCGUGCCCGGAGGGGCAGUCCUCGGCCACAGGAGGCCACUGAGCAAUGGCACUUAGCACCUCCUCCAGGUGCCCUGGCCUGCAGACUCUCACACACACACUCAUGCACACUGCACACACUCUUGCACAUGCCUUGCACAUGUGCACACUCUCUCUUACACACUCACAAGGCACACCCACAUUGAGACACUCACCCACACACACUUUCACAUCACACACACACACACACUGACUCAUACACUAGCUAACAUACACUCUUUGACACACACUUUUGCACACACACUCAGAUAUCCACUCACAUGCCCCAGACAUACACACAGUCAUGUACAUCCUUU
This is a long non-coding RNA of Myotis daubentonii (Daubenton's bat), 1080 nucleotides long. RefSeq lists it as uncharacterized. NCBI's taxonomy places the organism in Eukaryota, Metazoa, Chordata, Mammalia, Chiroptera, Vespertilionidae. The record is from RefSeq and is a predicted model, not a curated record.